AUAAGUAUACUAGAGAAACUUAUUAGGUCCAAAAUUGUGAUAAAAUCCAAAUACACAAGCAAAUUAACAAUCACAAAAAUUAGAUAAGAUGGAUUGCAAAAGAAGAAGAAAAAGAAGGACGUCAUAGGCGCCCCCAAGCGUUUAGCUUGUUUUUUUGCUAUCCGAUGCAUUCUAAGGAUGUUUGAAUGUGUAUUGCCUCUAUCUGGUGGUGAUGAGACUCCGUCUUUGCGAGUCCCGAAUUAAGACUCCAUAUGCGGGUAUGGGAGUCUAGCAUUAAACCUCCAUUAUGCUUCAAAGUGUGCAUGUAAAGCAAAGAAGAAACAAAAAUAGAAUUAAAGGAGAAACCUUAUGCUUAAUGGAAAAAAUAGUGAAUCAAAGGUAUUUACAAUGGUUAAUGAUAAGCUAUAGCUACAGCAUGUUCAUAGAGACGUAAACAAAAAAAACAGUUGAUUAGACUGAUACUAGACUUACAUUUAAACUUAUACUGUAUAAGUUUAGCUUAAGAAGCAAUGUAUAAGUUAUACAUUGCUUCUUAAGCUAAUGACUUAUAUCACAAAAAAAUUGCUAGGCGAGAUUAGCAUACUGCAGUCGCUAUCUUUAUUCACAUGAGAAGCAAGGUAUUACAAAUAUGUUAGAAUGAAUCAACACAAGAAAGUAAGAUUGAAUAGUCUCCUCAUAGACAGCGUGGCUUCUAUAACGUACAAACAAAUGACAGAGGAUACAUGAGUACCUCAACAAAUAUUUAACCUACUGAACUUUCAGAUAAAUAGAGUGUGCAUUAAUAUUAAACUUCUCACCAUGCCACCUUAAUUAACUCGUUUGAAUUCAUAAUAUGAGAGAUUCUAAAAAAUAGUUCCACUUAUAAACAACUAGUGGAAUAAAGUCAUCCCUCAAUGGCUUCUAAACUUCAAUAAAAUCUAAAGUUAGGUUUUCUUUACAUAUGCAAGCCCCAACAUCAAUACUAUAUAUCGAUUAACCGAGUUGUUCACUUUCAGUUAUAAUGAAGAAUUCUACUUAUAAUAUUUUCAUUCCUUGAACAGCUAGUUAGAAAUAAUAUACCCCAUAAAAGACACAAGUUAAAUGGAACACGUAAUCAAGAAAUCAUACAACCAAAAUAUUUUCACUGACCCAAACUGGAGGGCCAUGACUAGCACCCGAUCAUACUUACCAAGCACCAACAUACAUUUUAUCUAAGCUUCUUUAUUAUCUUCUAGGGUUGACGAAAUCAUUAUAAAUGGUAGACAGGGAUCAUGGACAACAAACUAUAAAUUAUGAUGGCAUGAACAUACCUAACAUGGGAUGACUAGACAAUCAAGAAACUAUGUAUAAGGUACGAGCUACCACGCUAGCAUGAAAGACUAUACAACAAAAGCCAGUCGACAAGGCAUACCAACUAUACAUGAGCCAACACCUGUCUAUGAGCCUCUAAAAGAACAUACAUGCUGCAACAUACCCGGAACAGGGCCCCAACAUACCCAUAAUGACCAUAACAAAAAUGCAUACCAAGACCACGGCAAGUCCGGAGAAGGGAUCUCGCCAAUUACCGCUAAACUGGACAGUCUACUGUGGUAGGGGAGCUGCACAUGCCUGUCUAUCAGGACCUGCAGCACGACAUGCAGCGUCCACAAAUAAAAGGACGUUAGUACGAAUAAAGUAUUGAGUAUGUAAGGCAGGGAACCAUAAAUACAAACAGUAAUGUAAGCAGGAAUAGAGAAUAUACGACAUGUAAGAUCAGAGUACCCCUGAGGGCUACUAACAUGAAAUGCAUGAUAAAUAUGUAUAGGUACAUAAACUUUUAAAACAUACGCCUCUGUGGGCAUCAUCAUCCUCAUAUCGUACCCGGCCCUAAUAUGCUCGGAAAGAACGUACCCGGCCAUCAUAAGGCUUGGUAGAAUUGUUACAACUCUUUAGUCUACAAUAAGAGAGACGAUACUAUCGUUAACAUUUAAGCGUCGUAACUAUUAUGUACCGACCACAACCUAUUUUGUGAUGAAACGGACAACACCUCCCCUAUUUAUAUGACUUCUCACAAGUGAAAACAAUCACCAAACAGACCAAACAACAUCAACGUUAAUCAUAUUGAACCUCCCAAAAUAGUCUACCAACCGAUAACAUUACUACCAAGCCUUUCGAUAUAUAUUUCACAAGUUCUAGCUUCAAUGACUUAGCCGCAACUUGGAUAAUAUUAAAUACAUAUAGAUUAAGAGGUUCCUUACCUUUAUACAGAAAUUACAACUCCAAUGUGACCUUAAUUCUCCACGAAAUAUCCCUCCAAUCUUGCCACAACAACAAGGAAGUGAAACUAGCAAUCAAUUAGUAUUUUUCUGAACUAGAAUCUUCAGAAGGCUUGAAAUCACCUAGAGUUGAUAUUACGAACUUGAGGGAGUAUUUACAGAACAUAAACCCUUUAAAACAACCUCCCACAUGAGCUGGAACAACACAAAAUGAGCAACAACAAGAAGAACAAGAGACUUACUAGCGCCACGGGAUUCCCGACACUUGAUUUGUGUUGUUUGCCCUUUGUUUGGCUCUUGAAUCUUGAGAGAACCUUGAGAAGGUGUUCCUAGGGUUCUGAGGUCUGAAAAUAGUGAAAAGAAAUGACUUAAAAUGGGUUGGAGGCGUCCUAUAUUGAUCCAAAUGUCUUAAACCGCCUAAAUGGGCCCCAUAAAGAGGUGCUUGGCGCAGUCUCGCAAAAAUACGAAUAACUCUCUACUCCGAGAUCGUAUCGACGAUCGGUUUAAUACGUUAGAAACUAGAUUAAUAGAUAUUCAAUUUUAUGGUUAGAUCACUCCAUAAUUCUAAGUAAAUUGGGAGAAAGGCUUAGUAACAUUUGACCUAAUGUUUAACUAAAAUUAUGAACCUAAGUUGUGACAACUUUUGUCGACUUUUGUCUCAUAACUCGUUUGAUUUCAAGACUUAUGAUACGGAUAUUAUAUGAUUCAAAUACCUUAAAACACUACACUUGAGUGAAUUAUUCACCUAUAGGUUUACCCGAAAAUACGGCUGACAACAUCCUUGAUUCGCUUAACUUCUAAUACUUGUUAACCACCCUUAUACACCUUUGUAUCAUUUAAGACCAAUAGGAUUAACUUCUUAUCAUCAUAAAGAUAAUCCUUUCAAGGAUUUUGGCGUAUCCGUAUUUGGCAGAGUGGAAACGUACUCGGGAAGGAAAUGAUCUUUACAUGGAAAUGAAAGAGUCUGGAGUAAUUAAUGAAGAAGUCGACUACCUUAUGGCAUGAGCUAACAUACGUGAAUAUGGUUUGUAACACCCUCCCCCCUUAGGCACAUUUGCCCUCGAAUGUAAGGGUCUAUGGGGAGUCCAAAUCUUUGUGGAUUCCAACGGAAAUUUCCGAUCUAUUUCCCACUAUAAAAUGGCCACUAGCAAAACUUGCAAGUACUUAAGCCAAAUAUAUGGCCAGCUACACAAGACAUUAUGGAUAUUUAUAUCUGCAUAUCACCAUCUUGUAUUAAGGAAGAGUAUUCUCAAGUUAUUGCUUACCUCAUAAAGUCGUUUCACCUUUCCAAUGUAUCUUGCGUUCCACCAGCAUCCUUGUUAUCAUCACUCUGGAAUAGGUAAGGGUAUUUAGACUUCAUCUCUUCUUCCGCUUCCCAUGUCAUUUCUACCAUAUUUUUGUUCCUCCACAAUACUUUGACGAAAGCUACAUCGUUUGUUCUCAGCUUGCGGACUUGAGAAUAUAAUAUAACCACUGGCACUUCUUCAUAUGAUAGAUCCUCUGUAGCUUGUACAUCUUUGAUAGGGACAACCCUAUAAGGGUCUCCAAUACAUUUUCUCAACAUAGAUACAUGGAAUACCGGGUGGACAAAUUCCAAUUCCGAUGGCAAUUAUAACUCAUAAGCAACUUUCCAAUUCGUUUAAGAAUUUUAUACGUACCGAUAUACCUUGGACUCAGCUUACCUUUCUUCCCAAAACGCAUAACACCCUUCAUUGGUGAGAUCCUCAGGAAAACCCAAUCACCAACCUCAAACUCCAAGUCACGACGUCGGACAUCGGAAUAAGACUUUUUCCUGCUUUGUGCCGUCCUCAUCAUUCCUUUAUCACAUUCACCUUCUCAAUGGCUUGGUGAAUCAAAUUUGGCCCAUAUAAUUCUAUUUCACCGACUUCGAACCAUCCAACUAGUAAUCUACAUCUUCACCCGUAUAGUGCCUCAUAUGGGGCCAUUUUAAUACUGGAAUGGUAGCUAUUGUAGGAGAAUUCUAUGAGUGGAAGAUGGUCAUCCUAAUUUCCCUUAAAAUCUAGAACACAUGCUCGUAGCAUAUAUUCCAGUGUUGGAAUGGUACGUUCAGCCUAUCCGUCAAUUUGCGGAUGAAAUGCAGUGGUGAGAUUCACUUGUGUGCCUGAACCCUUCUGAAAAGACCUCCAAAAGUUAGCCGUAAAUUGAGCUCCUCGGUCUAAUAUAAUAGAUACUGGCACACCAUGAAGCCUAACAAUCUCCUUGAUAUAUAACUUCGCAUAAUCUUCAGCCAUGUAAUUAGUCUUAACUGGUAGAAAAAGGGCACAUUUUGUAAGUCGAUCAACUAUUACCCAGGUGGAGUCAAACUUAUGAUAAGAGUGAGGUAAUCGAAUAACGAAGUCCAUAUUAAUCACCUCCCAUUUCCAGGUCGGAAUCUCUAUAUUCUGAAGCAACCCACCGGGUUUCUGAUGUUCUAUCUUUACUUGUUCACAAUUUGGACACUGGGCUACAAAUUCUGCAAUAGACUUUUUCAUGUUAUCCCACCAAUACUGCUCCUUGACAUCAUGAUACAUCUUUGUCAAGCAGGGAUGGAUACAAUAUCGGGAUUGAUGAACUCAUUCAUAAUCUUUUCUCGCAACCCUGCCACAUUAGGCACAAAUGAUCGACCCUCGUAUCUCAGUGCCCCAUCUCCUUCGAUCUCAAAAGCCGUAAUAUUACACUGCUAAAUGCUCUUUCUCAAUCGUACUAAGAUAGGAUCUUCAUAUUUCCGUGAUUUUAACUCGGCUACCAAAGAUGAUUCGGAUGUAUUAUGUACAGUAACACCUCCGUAAUCAGAGUCUAAUAAUCUGAUUCUCAUAUUGGCUAGCUGAUGAAAUUCUUUAGUCAACCCCCAUCUACCUGCCUCAAUGUGUACUAAGCUUCCCAUUGACUUACGGCUGAGAGCGUCUGCCACAACAUUGGCUUUACCGAAUGAUACAAUAUCUCUACGUCGUAGUCUUUCAAUAACUCAAGCCACCUACGCUGCCUCAAAUUCAACUAUUUCUACUUAAGGAUAUAUUGUAAACUCUUAUGAUUUGCGUAGAUGUCAACAUGGACGUUGUAUAAGUAGUGUCGCCAUAUCUUCAAAGCAUAUAUUACUGCAGCCAAUUCCAAAUCAUGGGUCGGGUAAUUAUUUUCAUGCUUCUUCAAUUGUCUUGAUGCAUAAGCAAUCACCCUUCCACGUUGCAUCAAUACGCACCCCAAACCUAUACCUAAGGCAUUACAAUAUACCACAUAUCCUUCUGUUCCUUCAGGGAGAGUGAGCACUGGUGCAGAUGUUAAUCGAUUCUUCAGUUCCUGAAAACUGUAUCCUUAUGUUCCUUCAGGGAGAGUGAGCCCUAGUGCUGAUGUCAAUCAAUUCUUCAGUUCCUGAAAACCACGCUCACAAGUGUCAGACCACUGGAACUUGGUAGCUUUUUGUGUUAAUUUAGUCAAUGGUGCUAAUAUGGAGGAAACCCUUCCACAAAUCGCCUAUAAUAUCCUGCUAGCCCUAGGAAGCUGUGGACUUCUGAUGGUGUUGUAGGUCUCGGACAAUUCUUUACUGUAUCGAUCUUCUGAGUGUCGACACUAAUACCCAAGUCAGAUAUCACAUGGCCAAGGAAUGUUACUAAGUUCAGCCAUAAUUCACAUUUGGAGAGCUUAGAAUAUAGCUUACGAACCUGAAGCGUCUGUAAUACUAUCCACAAGUGGCCUGCAUGUUCCGCCUCCGAACGAGAAUACACCAGAAUGUCAUCAAUGAAUACAAUCACGAACACAUCAAGAUAGGGCCUGAAUACAGUAUUCCGCCUCUGAAUAAGAAUACACCAGAAUGUCAUUAAUGAAUACAAUCAUGAACACAUCAAGAUAGGGCCUGAAUACUGUAUUCAUGAGAUCCAUAAAAGCUUCUAGGGCAUUUUUUAGCUCGAACAACAUCACCAAGAACUUAAAUGCCCAUAUCUCGUCCGGAAGGUCGUUCCUUAACCCUCACCUGAUGAUACCCUGAAUGUAAGUCAAUCUAAGAGAAAUACUUGGCACCCUGGAGUUGGUCAAACAAGUCGUCAAUUCUUGGAAGUGAAUACUUGUUCUUUAUAGUAAACUUAUUCAACUGUCGAUAGUCGAUAUACAUCUGUAACGACCCGUCUUUCUUCCGCACGAAUAGAACUGGUGCACCCCAAGGUGAAGUGCUAGGCCUAAUGAAGCCCUUAUCCAGCAAGUCCUUCAACUGCGCCUUCAACUCUCGCAACUCUGCCGGAGCCAUUUUGUAUGGAGGGAUAGAGAUUGGUUGAGUGUCAAGCAACACAUCAAUGCUAAACUCAAUCUCCCUUUCAGGAGGAAGGCCUGGGAGUUCGUCUGGGAAAACAUCUAGAAAUUCAUUGACCACGGGGAUUAAUUGUAGAGUAGGCGGCUUCACCUCCACAUCCCUAACACGAACGAGAUGAUAAAUGUAACCUUUUGAGAUCAUUUUCCUUGCCUUAAGAUAGGAAAUAAACCUACAUUUUAGAAUAACAAUGUUCCCCUUCCAUUCAAUGACGGGUUCACCAGGAAAUUGAAACCUAACAUUCUUCAUACGACAAUCAACAUUUGCAUAGCAUGAGGACAGGCAGUCCAUUCCCAUUAUCACAUGGAAUCAACCAUUUCUAACUCAAAUAAAUUUGCCGAGGUUUGACGACUAAAAAUCAUCACAGUGCUCAACAUUUGCAUAGCAUGAGGACAACCAGUCCAUUCCCAAUAUCACAUUGAAAUCAACCAUUUCUAACUCAAAUAAAUUUGCCGAGGUUUGACGACUAAAAAUCAUCAUAGUGCAACCUCUAUAUACCCUUCUAGCAAUCAUAGAAACUCUUAUUAGAGUAGAUACCGCAAGGGGUUUACUUAUCAAUUCAGGUUCAAUUCCAAACUUAUUAACCACAAAGGGUGUAGCAUAUGAUAAUGUAGAUCCCGAAUCAAUCAGCAUAUAUACAUCACAAGAAAACACAGGCAAUAUACCUGUAACAACAUCUGGAGAUCCUGAAGACCUACUAGAGCAUAGGUUCGAUUUUGACCACCACUUGAACUCGGCCCUGCACCUCUACCUCUACCAUGACUAUUGAAAACCCGUGCUGGAGGUCGAACUGAUGAGAAAGAACCAAACACAGGUCUAGUCGGCUGAGCCAUACCAUCAACUCUCUUAUUAGGACAAUGCCGCAUCAUAUAGCUAGGUAGUCCGCAAGAAUAAAAUGCAUCAGAACCUCGAUGGCACAGUCCAAAGUGGGCCUUGCCGCACUGAUCACAACGUGGUAUUAUGGGUCUCGUGUUACUAGAAUCCAUGUGAUGUUGCGAGCCUGAUGCCCGCGAACUCUAACCUAGACCAGAAUAUGUAAAUCGAUCAUAUCGAGGCCUCUGAAACUGUGGAGGAGCACUAGCUACAGGUGGCACCGAACUACUCGAAGACUGGGGCCUAACAUUGCCUCUGAAGUCAUCAGAAUACCGUGCAAAUCUUACCCUCUUAUGUUGGCCCCUAUCCUGCUCCCUAGCUGCCCUCUGUUGGCGCUUACAAUCCUCUAGGGUCUGGGCAUAAGCCUGAAUAUGGGAAAUACCCAUGCCUUCCACCAAGGAGGUUGUCGUUCACUCAUUUAUCAGAUGUGGUCCCAACGCGUUCACGAACAAAUGCACCAUAUCACUUAUCUCGGCCACCAUAUGGGGAGCAUACCUUGAUAAAGAAUCAAACUGCAUAAUAUACUCUCGCACACUCAUAUUACCUUGUCUAAGGUUCAAGAACUAAUCAUCUCUAGCUCGUUGUAUCUCAACUGCAAGUAGCGACAAAUAAAGGCCUCAGAAAAAUCCUUCCACCUAGCUAGAGGAGCAUUGAGACCUCUGGAUCUCUCCCAACUUAAUCCCCUGGCCGUUAAGAAGCCAACUCUACUACCUCUGUAUCACUAACAUGCAUUACCCGCAAUGUACGAUGAACCUGGUCAAUAGAAGUCUAGGGGUCCUCAUUGGGGUCUGAUCCGGUAAACAUUGGAGGGUCUAAAUUAAUAAAAUCACGAACUCUCACACUAAUUGGUUUAUCAGCAGCACCUGUAUUCUGCCUCUAAGCCUGAGCAGCUACCAAGCUAGUCAAUAAUGGUAAACAUUGGAUGGUCUAAAUUAAUAAAAUCACAAAAUCUUUUACUAACUAGUUUAUCAGCAACACCUCUAUUCUACCUCUGAGCCUGAGCAGCUACCAAGCUAGUCAAUAACUGUAAAGCACUCCGCAUAUCCUGGUCUGUGGUGCUAGAUGGAGGAACUGGAGGUGCUGGGUGCCUCCUAAUAUCCUCUGGAGGAGACAGAGUAGAUGAGGUAUGAGACGACAUCUCACUCUGAGCCUCACUUUGGCCUGCUCUAGCUUAGGGCACAUGACUGGUACCCUCUCCCAUAUCUGUAUCAAGCCGUCUAAUAAUUAUUUGCUUCCUAGUCGAAGGCAUCGAUGAAAGAAAACAAGGUUAAUAUUAGAGACGAACACUUACGACUCAACUCUACGCACGAUCUAGAUUCAGGAUGAAGGUAACAACCCUAAAUGUCAUGUAGCCUCCAGAUUAUAAAUGUGGCGCGCUACACAUCCAUAAUCAAGACUCUACUAGACACGGCUCAAAGACAAUCCCUAGGUUAAUACCAAGUUUGUCACGACCCAAACUGGAGGGCCAUGACUAGCACCCAACCAUACUUUUCAAGCACCAACAUACAUUUUAUCUAAUCUUCUUUAUUAUCUUCUAGGGUUGACGAAAUUAAUAUAAAUGGUAGACAUGGAUCAUGGAUAACAAACAAUAAUAUAUGAUGGCGUGAACAUACCUAACAUGGGAUAACCAGACAAUGAAGAAACUAUGUAUAAGGUACGAGCUACCACGCUACCAUGAACGACUAUACAAAAAAAACAGCCGACAAAGCAUACCAACUAUACAUGAGUCAACACCUAGCUAUGAGCCUCUAAAGGAACAUAAAUGCUGCAACAUAGCCGGAACAAGGCCCCGACAUACCGAUAAUGUCCAUACAAAAAUGCACACCAAGACUAAGGCAAGUCCGGAGAAGGGAUCUCGCCAAUCACCGCUGAACUGGACAUCAUACUUUGGUGGGGAGCUGCACCUGCCUGUCUAUCAGGACCUGCAACACGACAUGCAGCGUCCACAAAUAAAAGGACGUCCGUAAGAAUAAAGUACUGAGUAUGUAAGGCGGGGAACCAUAAACACGAACAGUAAUGUAAGCAGGAAUAGAGAAUAUACAACCUGUAACAUCUGAGUACCCCUGAGGGCUACUGACAUGAAAUGCAUGAUAAAUAUGUAUACGUACAUAAACUUUUAAAACAUAGGCAUCUGUGGGAAUCAUCAUCCUCAUAUCGUACCCGGCCCUAACAGGCUCAAAAUAAACGUACCCGGCCAUCAUAAGGCUCGGUAGAAUCGUACUUGGCCACGUGAAGCUCAUUAAAACCCAACUGAUCAGUGGUUGCAUAAUAGGUGUCAUAUUCGAAGUAAGGUAAGGUCGGCAUCCUUUGUACACGUUAUUAGGACUAACUCUUCACCAAGAACCUUAUAAGAAUCAGGAAGUACCAACAACAUUGAUAACAAUAAGAAUAAGAGAAGCAACAUUAACAUCUACCAUUCCAUAAGAGGGGAAAGAAUGUAAGUACCGCUAGAUUUUAAGAGUAGAGUAUCAUUGGAAGCUCGUUCAUUACAUUAUGUACAAUCAGAGUCGUGCAAACGAAAGAAAGGGAUUGCCUCACAUACCUAGUAUAUACUGCCCCAAUCUCAAGCUAUGCAAUUAUCACAACUCUUUAGUCUACAAUAAGAGAGACGAUACUAUCGUUAUCAUUUAAGCGUCUUCAUUUUUAUGUAUCGACCACAACCUAUUUUGUGAUGAAACGGACAGCACCUCCCCUAUUUAUAUGACUUCUCACAAGUGAAAACAAUCACCAAACAGCCCAAACAACAUCAAUGUUAAUCAUAUUGAACCUCCCAAAAUAGUCCACCAACCGAUAACAUCACUACCAAGCCUUUCGAUAUAUAUUUCACAUGUUCUAACUUCAAUAGCUUAGUCACAACUUAUAUAAUCUUAAAUACAUAUAGAGUAAGAGGUUAAUUACCUUUAUAUAGAAAUAAAAACUACAAUUUGACCUUAAAUUUCCAUGAAAUAUCCUUCCAAGGCUACCACAACAACAAGAAAACAAAACUAGCAUUACUUACCUUUAUACAGAAAGUACAGCUCCAAUGUGACCUUAAUUCUCAAUGAAAUAUCCCUCCAAUCUUGCCACAACAACAAGGAAGUGAAACUAGCAAUCAUUUAGUAUUUGUCGGAACUAGAAUCACUUUAGAAGGCUUGAAAUCACCUAGGGUUGAUAUUACGUACUUGAGAGAGUAUUUACAAAACAUAAACCCUUUAAAAAACCUCCCACACGAGCUGGAACAACACAAAAUGAGCAAAAAUAAGAAGAAUAAGAGACUUACUAGCGCCACGGGAUUCCCGACACUUGAUUUGUGUUGUUUGCCCGAACUUGAGGGAGUGUUUACAGAACAUAAACCCUCUAAAACAACCUCCCACACCAGCUGAAACAACAUAAAAAUGAGCAACAACAAGAAGAACAAGAGACUUACUAGUGCCACGAGAUUUCCGACACUUGAUUUGUGUUGUUUGCCCUUUGUUUGGGUAUUGAAUCUUGAGAGAACCUUAAGUGUUCCUAGGGUUCUAAUGUCUGAAAAUAGUGAAAAGCAAUGACUUAAAAUGGGUUGGAGGCGUCCUAUACAGAUCCAAAUGUCUUAAACCACCUAAGUGGGCCCUAUAGAAAGGUGUUUGGCAUAGUCUCGCGACAAUGCGAAUAUCUCUCUACUCAGAGAUCGUAUCGACUAUCGGUUUAAUGCAUUAGAAACUAGACUCAUAGAUCUUCAAUUUGGUGGUUAGAUCACUCCAUAAUUCUAAGUAAAUUAGGAGAAAAGCUUAGUAGCAUUUGACCAAAUGUUUAACUAAAAUUAUGAAGCUAAUUUGCGACAACUUUUGUGGACCUUUGUCUCAUAACUCAUUUGACUUCAAGACUUAUAAUAAGGAUAUUAUCUGAAUCAAAUACCUUAAAAAACCACCACUUGAGUGAAUUAAUCACCUCUAGGGUUACCCGAAAAUACGGCUAACAACAUACUUGAUUCGCUUAACUUCUAAUACUUCGUUAACCACCCUUAUACACCUUUGUAUCAUUUAAGACCAAUAGGAUUAAUUUCUUAUCAUCUUAAAGAUAAUCCUUUCAUGGAUUUGUCGACUACCUUAUGGCAUGAGCUAACAUACGUGAAUAUGGGUUGUAACAAAUAUAAUAGAUCUUAACUCUACAAAUCAUUCCUACAAGUCAUUUGUUCAACUUAUGGUCUCCACGACUUAUUAAGGCUUAGCCAAGACUUUAAAAAAAAUACUCAAAGAUUGCGUAGUACAUGAUUUCUAGCGUAUGGACAAGAACUAGAAAAUCCUCUAGCAUAUGACUUUUGCAUAAAUGAUGAACAUAGAGAAGUAACAUGACACAUUUUAUGACACGUUAAACUAAAAGAAAAUCGAGAUAUCAUUUUUAUGAUGCGAACACAACACAUUUUUUAUUUUAGAAUUGAAUGAGAAGAAGAGUCACUGACCUUUUGCAGAGCAGUAAACUGGGACGCUUGUCAAGGACUAUUCCCACGAACUCGUCAACUCAAAUAUAAUUUGGAAAGUUAUGAAAUUUCUACUAUAUUUGUUGCAAACGGAACAUAAUUUUUUAAUAGAAAUAAAAGCAACGAAUUCAAGGGGGAAAAGGCGGCUGAAGUCAUUAAUUUUUGGGGUAAGAGAGAGGCUCUGAGCUUAAGGUCCUCGGAGGGGGGCUGAAGCUUUAGGAAUAUUUAUUGAAAAAAAUGAUUAAGGCUUUUGGAUUUGAAAUUUGAAAUCAAACAUAGAGGAGAGUCACGGGUUGCUUUAGACUCCAAAGAUCCGUUUGAGACCAUGGCUGACCAUUUCACCAUUUUGGUGAAGCUAUGCUCUGUGAUAGGGAAAGCAAAGCAAAAGAGGAACCGGAGAUGGAAAGAUUUUCUAAAAAAGGGAAAAUUUCACGUGAGGAAGAGACAAAAUUGAGAGAUUUUGUUACUUUGACCAAAAUUAAAAAGGAUGAUUAUU
Molecule: long non-coding RNA, 12332 nt
Filed under: Nicotiana benthamiana
Lineage: Eukaryota; Viridiplantae; Streptophyta; Magnoliopsida; Solanales; Solanaceae
Description: long non-coding RNA (NBEN_LNC008944)
Source: RNAcentral